Molecule: ribosomal RNA, 440 nt
Filed under: uncultured bacterium
Lineage: Bacteria
Description: partial 16S ribosomal RNA
Rfam family: Bacterial small subunit ribosomal RNA
Source: RNAcentral
CCUACGGGUGGCAGCAGUGGGGGAUAUUGCACAAUGGGGGGAACCCUGAUGCAGCGACGCCGCGUGGGUGAAGAAGCGCCUCGGCGCGUAAAGCCCUGUCAGCAGGGAAGAAAAUGACGGUACCUGAAGAAGAAGCCCCGGCUAACUACGUGCCAGCAGCCGCGGUAAUACGUAGGGGGCAAGCGUUAUCCGGAUUUACUGGGUGGAAAGGGGGCGCAGACGGGGAUGCAAGCCAGGAGGGAAAGCCCGGGGCCCAACCCCGGGACGGCUCUUGGAACGGGGUGGCUGGAGUGCAGGAGGGGCAUGCGGAAUUGCUGGUGGAGCGGUGAAAUGCGUAGAAAUCAAGAGGAACCCCGGUGGCGAAGGCGGCCUGCUGGACUGCAACUGACGUUGAGGCCCGAAAGCGUGGGGAGCCAACAGGAUUAGAUACCCCAGUAGUC